RNAcentral lists this ribosomal RNA (427 nucleotides) under uncultured bacterium. RNAcentral describes it as "partial 16S ribosomal RNA". It matches the Rfam family "Bacterial small subunit ribosomal RNA", at positions 355 to 774 of the family's 1533-position model. The record is from RNAcentral.
UGGGGAAUAUUGCACAAUGGGCGCAAGCCUGAUGCAGCCAUGCCGCGUGUAUGAAGAAGGCCUUCGGGUUGUAAAGUACUUUCAGCGGGGAGGAAGGCGAUAAGGUUAAUAACCUUGUCGAUUGACGUUACCCGCAGAAGAAACACCGGCUAACUCCGUGCCAGCAGCCGCGGUAAUACGGAGGGUGCAAGCGUUAAUCGGAAUUACUGGGCGUAAAGCGCACGCAGGCGGUCUGUCAAGUCGGAUGUGAAAUCCCCGGGCUCAACCUGGGAACUGCAUUCGAAACUGGCAGGCUAGAGUCUUGUAGAGGGGGGUAGAAUUCCAGGUGUAGCGGUGAAAUGCGUAGAGAUCUGGAGGAAUACCGGUGGCGAAGGCGGCCCCCUGGACAAAGACUGACGCUCAGGUGCGAAAGCGUGGGGAGCAAACA